Molecule: ribosomal RNA, 331 nt
Filed under: uncultured bacterium
Lineage: Bacteria
Description: bacterial SSU rRNA
Rfam family: Bacterial small subunit ribosomal RNA
Source: RNAcentral
AGAGUUUGAUCAUGGCUCAGGAUAAACGCUGGCGGCGUGCCUAACACAUGCAAGUCGAACGCCCUGCGCGCAAGUGCAGGGAGUGGCGGACGGGUGAGUAACACGUGGGUAUCUACCUUGAGGUGAGGAAUACCGGCGAGAAAUCGCCGACAAAACCGCAUAGGCUCGCUUUACGGAGCGAGCAAAGUCGUAAGACGCCACAAGAUGAGCCUGCGCCCGAUUAGCUAGCUGGUGGGGUCAAAGCCUACCAGGGCGACGAUCGGUAGCUGGUCUGAGAGGAUGAUCAGCCACACUGGGAUUGAGAACGGCCCAGACUCCUACGGGAGGCAGC